This 569-nucleotide ribosomal RNA is filed under the name uncultured bacterium. Its description in RNAcentral is "bacterial SSU rRNA". It matches the Rfam family "Bacterial small subunit ribosomal RNA", at positions 1 to 529 of the family's 1533-position model. The record is from RNAcentral.
CAAGAGUUUGAUCCUGGCUCAGGAUGAACGCCGGCGGUGUGCCUAAUACAUGCAAGUCGUACGCACUGGCCCAACUAAUUGAUGGUGCUUGCACCUGAUUGACGAUGGAUCACCAGUGAGUGGCGGACGGGUGAGUAACACGUAGGUAACCUGCCCCGGAGCGGGGGAUAACAUUUGGAAACAGAUGCUAAUACCGCAUAACAACAAAAGCCGCAUGGCUUUUGUUUGAAAGAUGGCUUUGGCUAUCACUCUGGGAUGGACCUGCGGUGCAUUAGCUAGUUGGUAAGGUAACGGCUUACCAAGGCGAUGAUGCAUAGCCGAGUUGAGAGACUGAUCGGCCACAAUGGAACUGAGACACGGUCCAUACUCCUACGGGAGGUAGCAGUAGGGAAUCUUCCACAAUGGGCGCAAGCCUGAUGGAGCAACACCGCGUGAGUGAAGAAGGGUUUCGGCUCGUAAAGCUCUGUUGUUGGAGAAGAACGUGCGUGAGAGUAACUGUUCACGCAGUGACGGUAUCCAACCAGAAAGUCACGGCUAACUACGUGCCAGCAGCCGCGGUAAGAGCGGUA